AGGAAAUAAAUGCUCAUUUACAUAUGAAUAUGAUUAGAUGAAUGUAAUUAAUUAACUUUCAUUACAAACACUAUAUGUUACUUAAAAAAUCCAUUAUUCAAAAGGGCUAGGAGACAUCACAUUAAAUUGAAAGAUACGAAAUACAUUCAUCUAUAUAACAAAAAAGAAAAAGAAAUAAAUACAUACAUACAUGAAGAAAAUGACAUAUAGUAUCAAGCCACUAACACAAUAUUUAUAAUUUCAUAAAAACAACGAAUUUUUAAAGAGUGGUAACUUUCUUUGUUUAUGAUCAUGAAGAGGUCUAGUUGUUGAGUUGAGAUUUUCCUCAUUUAUGCCCUUGUCCAUCAGGGCUAGGACCAUAGUUGUCAACUUCUAGUUUCCUAUUGAUAUUAUAAUGUUUAUAAUGAUUUUCCAUAACCGAGUUCCUCACAACCAUGUGUGGUGACUUUAGAAAUAUACUCUUUAGUUCCAAAGUGUUAAGUGGCCUUGACAUCCCAUGUUGGAUGCAGAGGCAGGACAAAGAAAGGAAAAUAAGAAAGAAGUUAAAGUAUUGAUGUUUUCCAACCAUGAUUAGUAGUAGUAGUUUCAAGAAAAUUGUAAUAUAAUAGUAAGAAGGUAAAUAUGAU
RNAcentral lists this long non-coding RNA (626 nucleotides) under Cicer arietinum (chickpea). Its description in RNAcentral is "long non-coding RNA (CARI_LNC001074)". Lineage: Eukaryota; Viridiplantae; Streptophyta; Magnoliopsida; Fabales; Fabaceae. The record is from RNAcentral.